UGCAAAAGUUGAUGUAAUCAACUGGACGGCCAAAACGAGGUGCGUCUUUGAGGUCAAAAUUUCAAUUUUUGAACUAGGCAUACCAAUCACAAGCAGUUCUUUCAGUUAUAGCACCCUCUCCAUACACAGCACAAAUGUCGCGAGCAGCUUUUGCGGCCUUAGAACCUUGAUUAAAAGCAAAAAGAAAGGAGGUGUCGAAAAUGGUCGUUUUGCUUAACUUGACAUUCCAUUUUA
Octopus sinensis (East Asian common octopus) is the source of this 234-nucleotide long non-coding RNA. RefSeq lists it as uncharacterized. NCBI's taxonomy places the organism in Eukaryota, Metazoa, Mollusca, Cephalopoda, Octopoda, Octopodidae. The transcript has 3 exons. The record is from RefSeq and is a predicted model, not a curated record.